RNAcentral lists this ribosomal RNA (467 nucleotides) under uncultured bacterium. Its description in RNAcentral is "partial 16S ribosomal RNA". It matches the Rfam family "Bacterial small subunit ribosomal RNA", at positions 28 to 506 of the family's 1533-position model. The record is from RNAcentral.
GACGAACGCUGGCGGCGUGCUUAACACAUGCAAGUCGAACGGAAAGGCCCUGCUUUUGUGGGGUGCUCGAGUGGCGAACGGGUGAGUAACACGUGAGUAACCUGCCCUAGACUUUGGGAUAACUUCAGGAAACUGGGGCUAAUACCGGAUAGGAGCUCCUGCUGCAUGGUGGGGGUUGGAAAGUUUCGGCGGUUGGGGAUGGACUCGCGGCUUAUCAGCUUGUUGGUGGGGUAGUGGCUUACCAAGGCUUUGACGGGUAGCCGGCCUGAGAGGGUGACCGGCCACAUUGGGACUGAGAUACGGCCCAGACUCCUACGGGAGGCAGCAGUGGGGAAUAUUGCACAAUGGGCGGAAGCCUGAUGCAGCAACGCCGCGUGCGGGAUGACGGCCUUCGGGUUGUAAACCGCUUUCGCCUGUGACGAAGCGUGAGUGACGGUAAUGGGUAAAGAAGCACCGGCUAACUACGU